GCAGUAGCCGCGGUAAUACGAAGGGUGCAAGCGUUAAUCGGAAUUACUGGGCGUAAAGCGUGCGUAGGCGGUGAGUUAAGUCUGCUGUGAAAUCCCCGGGCUCAACCUGGGAAUGGCAGUGGAUACUGGCUCGCUAGAGUGUGUCAGAGGAUGGUGGAAUUCCACGUGUAGCAGUGAAAUGCGUAGAGAUGUGGAGGAAUACCGAUGGCGAAGGCAGCCUCCUGGGAUAACACUGACGUUCACGCCCGAAAGCGUGGGUAGCAAACAGGAUUAGAUACCCCGGUAGUCCCUGUCUCUUAUAC
This 302-nucleotide ribosomal RNA is filed under the name uncultured bacterium. RNAcentral describes it as "partial 16S ribosomal RNA". It matches the Rfam family "Bacterial small subunit ribosomal RNA", at positions 508 to 807 of the family's 1533-position model. The record is from RNAcentral.